Molecule: ribosomal RNA, 699 nt
Filed under: Triticum aestivum (bread wheat)
Lineage: Eukaryota; Viridiplantae; Streptophyta; Magnoliopsida; Poales; Poaceae
Description: partial small subunit ribosomal RNA
Source: RNAcentral
AUGUCCUUCCCCGCCCCGAGAGGCAGCAUUUCCAUCUUGGCACCCAUGGUGAAGAAGGUCCGGUGGCACUGCGACUUAAGCGGGGCGUCUGUUGACUUCAAUCUUUGGGCAAUCCAGCAGCUGACUCUGCAGACGGCGGAGGGACAAGGACAUCUCCCUUCUCUGCACAUUCAUGCUACUGCUCGCUUUUAUAUUUCUCUCGACGAAGAGGACAUCAUGACACCGGAGAUAGAGAAGCAUAUGGUUGCCGAGUUUUCUGCUUUGGAGCUACAUCUCAAAACAAAUGGACAUGUGUUUGGAGCAUUCGCGUUUCAUCUCCUUGGGAUGAAUCGGAUUUGCAGUGCUAUGCAGAGGCUUAAGGUUGUCCUACAGAGAUCAGAGGUGGAAGAAACAUGCUCACCGCAUUGUCCAUGUGACUCCACGGAUUGGAGAUCCCAAACUAUCUCCUUGGCUGCUCUAGAAGAAGUGGAGAUCGACGGCUUUGGAGGAGACCAUCAUGAGAUUGAUUUCUUGAAACUGAUAUUCACAUGUGCUCCAUUGCUUAAAAGAGUGACCGUGAAGCUGUCAAAUGAGGCCUCAUCAAGCGACAAUGGAUGCACAAACAUAUACAACAUCUUCAAGGCCCAUUCUUCCGUGGAACUCUAUGUUUAUCCUAGCUCUGAUUACAAAUCAGAGCUUAUUUCAAUUAGCCUCCUCUGA